This 423-nucleotide ribosomal RNA is filed under the name uncultured bacterium. Its description in RNAcentral is "bacterial SSU rRNA". It matches the Rfam family "Bacterial small subunit ribosomal RNA", at positions 355 to 776 of the family's 1533-position model. The record is from RNAcentral.
UGAGGAAUAUUGGUCAAUGGGCGGGAGCCUGAACCAGCCAAGUCGCGUGAGGGAAGACGGCCCUAUGGGUUGUAAACCUCUUUUGCAGGGGAGCAAAGGAUGCCACGUGUGGCAUGAUGAGAGUACCCUGAGAAAAAGCAUCGGCUAACUCCGUGCCAGCAGCCGCGGUAAUACGGAGGAUGCGAGCGUUAUCCGGAUUUAUUGGGUUUAAAGGGUGCGCAGGCGGACUGUCAAGUCAGCGGUAAAAUCGUGGGGCUCAACCCCGCCGAGCCGUUGAAACUGGCAGUCUUGAGUGGGCGAGAAGUGUGCGGAAUGCGUGGUGUAGCGGUGAAAUGCAUAGAUAUCACGCAGAACUCCGAUUGCGAAGGCAGCACACCGGCGCCCAACUGACGCUCAGGCACGAAAGCGUGGGGAUCAAACAGG